UCCGGGUUGGACCCGGCGGUCCCGCCAGACAUGGUAACUGGCAGCGAGGGUUGCGCUCGUUGCGGGACUUAACCCAACACCUCACGGCACGAGCUGACGACAGCCAUGCAGCAUCUGUGCACGCUCCCUUGCGGGUCCUUCCCCUUUCGGGCACACUCUCAUCUCUGAGAGCUUCCUGGCAUGUCAAGGGUAGGUAAGGUUUUUCGCGCUGCAUCGAAUUAAUCCACAUAAUCCACCGCUUGUGCGGGUCCCCGUCAAUUCCUUUGAGUUUUAACCUUGCGGCCGUACUCCCCAGGCGGUCAACUUCACGCGUUAGCUUCGUUACCAAGGAAUUGCUUCCCCGACAACCAGUUGACAUAGUUUAGGGCGUGGACUAC
Molecule: unclassified non-coding RNA, 377 nt
Filed under: uncultured Gammaproteobacteria bacterium
Lineage: Bacteria; Pseudomonadati; Pseudomonadota; Gammaproteobacteria
Description: contains 16S-23S intergenic spacer region
Source: RNAcentral